This 1414-nucleotide long non-coding RNA is filed under the name Homo sapiens (human). Its description in RNAcentral is "HSALNT0290120". Lineage: Eukaryota; Metazoa; Chordata; Mammalia; Primates; Hominidae. The record is from RNAcentral.
CAUUUUUAGCAGGGGUUGGGGGAGGGGGUGGGAAGUGAUAAGUGAGACUGGAGGGAAGGCCAAAGGAUUUGAAGGACAGAAAAGCACAUAUCCUUCCUAGACCUCCCCUGGCUCCAGGAUGGAAAAUGACUUGGCAGGGGCCCUUUUUGUGCAGGCCAGAAGGGAAUUUAUUUCCCAGCUGUUCUGUUGUAUUUUCCUUGUUAGUCUUUGCUCCCACGGUCUAAGAGCAAAUACCGGAUCUUAGCGCCUACAGUACUGGUCAAGAGCUGCCACUUCAGUCAGUGUGACUCACAGCUGUCCGUGAACCACCUACUGUAACAGCUGGCUAGACACCACAGCCCUGCGGCCCUGCAGCCCAGCCACGUCUUUUUAGCUUCACCUCGACGGCCUUGCUCUUGACCUGAAAUCACCAUCACCUUAAUGGGCUAGAAAAGGUUUCCCCACUGCGAGCCCUUCGAGAACAAUGUCAUGUUGAUCGAUGGCAGUGACUCACACCAGAUCUUUCCAUGCCUCCUCUGCAAGGACUCAAGAGAGUCGAGAGCAAAACCGUGCCAUAGUUCCAUAAGGAGGGCAAAGAGCUUUAUCCACGCUGAGGAACAGGCGGAUCAUGCGGCUACAGCACUGGUCUUUACCUUUUAACUGCUUGAUUCGAAACAUUCCAGCCAGGAACAGUGGCUCACACCUGUAAUCCCAGCACUUUGUGGGGCCAAGGCAGGUGGAUUGCUCGAGCUCAGGAGUUCGAAACCAGCCUGGGCAACCUGGCAAAACCUCAUCUCUACAAAAAAAUACAAAAAUUAGCCAGGCCUGGUGUGUGUGCCUGUGGUUCCAGCCACUCGGCAGGCUGCGGCCAGAGGAUCACUUGAGCCCAGGAAGUGGAGGCUGCAGUGAGCUGAGAUCGUGCCGCCACACUCCAGCCUGGGUGACAGAGCCAGACAUUGUCUCUAAAAAAAAAAAAAAAAGAAAAGAAAAGAAAGAAAAAAGAGAAAUAGUCCAAGACUAGGGAGAAAACCUUCUUUGGGGUCAGUGUGAACCAUUCUUUCAUUUGUUCAGCAAAUGCUUACUGAGGAGCUACUGUGUCCCUGAAAUUGCCUCCACCUCCAAGAAGACAGUGGUGAGCAAGUCAGACAAUACCUCUAAUCUCAUGGUAUUUAUAAGUAAAUGGGCCGUUAAAAUUACCAGAUCAGAAGUGCUGUGUUCAGCAAAUAGAGGCUCAUGGGAAACUCCUAAGAAGGGCUUCUGAGCUGGACUUGGGGGUCAGGAAAGGCAGAAUGAGGGGGCUGACUCAUCCAGACUGGGGCGGGGUUGCCGGGGGUGCCUCCCACUUACUAUCUGUCUCCUUCUAGACUGACUUCUCUGUCAUCAUGAAUACACCCCUUUAAGACAUACAUUUAAGAGAAAAUAAGAGGAUGCCUUA